UACAGAGGCCUCGAGCGUUGUUCGGAAUUACUGGGCGUAAAGGGAAUGUAGGCGGUGACGUAAGUCAGAUGUGAAAGCCCUAGGCUUAACCUGGGAAGUGCAUUUGAUACUGCGUCGCUAGAGUGCGAUAGAGGAAAGCGGAAUUCCAGGUGUAGGGGUGAAAUCCGUAGAUAUCUGGAGGAAUACCGAUGGCGAAGGCAGCUUUCUGGCUCGUAACUGACGCUGAGAUUCGAAAGCGUGGGUAGCAAACAGG
RNAcentral lists this ribosomal RNA (253 nucleotides) under uncultured bacterium. Its description in RNAcentral is "partial 16S ribosomal RNA". It matches the Rfam family "Bacterial small subunit ribosomal RNA", at positions 524 to 776 of the family's 1533-position model. The record is from RNAcentral.